RNAcentral lists this long non-coding RNA (707 nucleotides) under Homo sapiens (human). RNAcentral describes it as "non-protein coding LINC01480:13". The record is from RNAcentral. Lineage: Eukaryota; Metazoa; Chordata; Mammalia; Primates; Hominidae.
CCUUUCACCAACUUUGACUGAAAUGAAUAGGUUACAACCUUUAGCUUUCUGCCCCUUGGAAAACGGAAGCAUUUAGACAUCCGUAUUAAUAUUUGGAUCUAGAGUGUUCGUGUUUUAGCACUUCCUUUUUUGAAAGGAGAAGCAGACGUGUUGUGUUUUUAGGAACACUUCCAAGAAGUUUCUCCUCCUCUAUGAUGAAACCAACACAAGAAAGCCAAAAGGGCGUUUAACCCCUUGAAGCACUGAGAGUUUCCCUGCUGAUAUUCUUAGACUGUUCUUUUUCUAAAACGAGAAAGAGUGACUUCUAAAGGGCUAACUCACCACAAGGGAGUCAGAGCAGAUCUUGGACUGAGACCUACAGGACACAGCGACUCUUAAAUAGGUGGCUCACCAGGAGAAAGGCAUAGCAGAACCUGGACUGAGACCUACGGGAGACAGCAGGCAGACACACAGGAGGUUGGACGUCGAGAGGAGCACAUCAGUGCAAGAACACAUGGGUGGCUGCCACUUCUCUCCCUUUCCUGAGAGGGAAAAACUCUCGACGCUGAGAGGAAUCCACCAACAGGCACCAGCACUCUGGCAGGCCACCGACCAAUGGAUUGACAUAGAGUUUGGCUGGGGCAGCCAGAGGAGAGCCUGGGCCGCUGAAUAACCCGACUUCAGGGGAAAACUAUUCUCCCUUUUGGCUCCCCCAUCUGCUGAGAGCU